UUCGUCCAGGUUGCAAAUUGC
Molecule: non-coding RNA, 21 nt
Filed under: Arabidopsis thaliana (thale cress)
Lineage: Eukaryota; Viridiplantae; Streptophyta; Magnoliopsida; Brassicales; Brassicaceae
Source: RNAcentral